This 337-nucleotide RNase P RNA is filed under the name bacterium. RNAcentral's name for it is "RNase P RNA component class B". It matches the Rfam family "Bacterial RNase P class B". From Rfam's summary of the family: Ribonuclease P (RNase P) is a ubiquitous endoribonuclease, found in archaea, bacteria and eukarya as well as chloroplasts and mitochondria. Its best characterised activity is the generation of mature 5'-ends of tRNAs by cleaving the 5'-leader elements of precursor-tRNAs. Cellular RNase Ps are ribonucleoproteins. RNAcentral also lists the same sequence under 1 other name. The record is from RNAcentral.
AACAUCGGGUAACUAAGCGCACAUAGGUGCGUUAGGAAAGUCCAUACUAGCACAAGCUGUGAUGCUUGUAGUGAUUGUGCUGAACGAAACCAUAAGUUCAGGCGCCCAAAAGGCGACGGCGGACGAAGGGAUUUAAAAGGCCCAUACGUCCUUAAGGUGCCACAGAAACGAGUCGUGUAAAACAUACACGGAUGAAACGCGGUAAACCCCUCAAGCUAGCAACCCAAAUUUUGGUAGGGGCACGGCCAAGCGAGAAACAGAAUCGACGAGGCUGACGGUCAAACGUAGAUAAAUGGUUACCCUCUUGCUUGCAAGAGACAGAACAUGGCUUACAGAU